ACGCUGGCGGCGUGCCUAAUACAUGCAAGUCGAACGCACGAAGUUGAAGAGCUUGCUCUUUAACCAAGUGAGUGGCGGACGGGUGAGUAACACGUGGGUAACCUGCCCAUUAGAGGGGGAUAACAUUCGGAAACGGAUGCUAAUACCGCAUAGUUUCAGGAAUCGCAUGAUUCUUGAAGGAAAGGUGGCUUCGGCUACCACUAAUGGAUGGACCCGCGGCGUAUUAGCUAGUUGGUGAGGUAAUGGCUCACCAAGGCAAUGAUACGUAGCCGACCUGAGAGGGUGAUCGGCCACACUGGGACUGAGACACGGCCCAGACUCCUACGGGAGGCAGCAGUAGGGAAUCUUCCGCAAUGGACGAAAGUCUGACGGAGCAACGCCGCGUGAGUGAAGAAGGUUUUCGGAUCGUAAAACUCUGUUGUUAAAGAAGAACAAGGAUGAGAGUAACUGCUCAUCCCCUGACGGUAUUUAACCAGAAAGCCACGGCUAACUACGUGCCAGCAGCCGCGGUAAUACGUAGGUGGCAAGCGUUGUCCGGAUUUAUUGGGCGUAAAGCGAGCGCAGGCGGUUCUUUAAGUCUGAUGUGAAAGCCCCCGGCUCAACCGGGGAGGGUCAUUGGAAACUGGAGAACUUGAGUGCAGAAGAGGAGAGUGGAAUUCCACGUGUAGCGGUGAAAUGCGUAGAUAUGUGGAGGAACGCCAGUGGCGAAGGCGACUCUCUGGUCUGUAACUGACGCUGAGGCUCGAAAGCGUGGGGAGCAAAC
RNAcentral lists this ribosomal RNA (763 nucleotides) under uncultured bacterium. RNAcentral describes it as "bacterial SSU rRNA". It matches the Rfam family "Bacterial small subunit ribosomal RNA", at positions 33 to 773 of the family's 1533-position model. The record is from RNAcentral.